Molecule: long non-coding RNA, 1459 nt
Organism: Lutra lutra (Eurasian river otter)
Lineage: Eukaryota; Metazoa; Chordata; Mammalia; Carnivora; Mustelidae
Exons: 3
Source: RefSeq, a predicted model, not a curated record
AGCUGGUGACCUCCAAGCUGGGCUUUGAAGAUGGAUGGAGUUUGCUAGCAUCAAAGUGGAAGGGGCAGGAGAUAGGUCAAGAAGAGGUAACUGUGGCCAGAUCACGAAGAGCCUGGCAUUUACUUGCUUCAGUUGUGUGUAGGCUGAACGGAGGCAGGGGUGGUGGGAAUGGAGAGGGAACAAGAGGUAAUUAAGGGGUAGGAGUGGGGGCUUAGUGAUUGAGUGGAUGUGGGAAGUGAGGGAGGGAGAGGAUCCAAGUCACUCUCAGGUUCACUGGACUGACACACAAGGAAGCUGUAUGACUGAAGACAGAGCCGAUCUGGGGGAACGAGAAGGUAAGGUCUAUGUUGUACAUGUGGAGUUGGCCCUCCAGGGGGGAUGUGGGCAGUUAGAAUCACACGCUAGAGGUUCUAUGUGUGAGUUUAUAGAGUUUGUCUGGAGGCAUGUGGCUGGGAUAGAACCUGGAACCCCAGCGUAUAAUAUUGAUAAUGGCUAACAUUUCACGCAUGCUUGCUGUGUAGCAGGCUGUGCUGGGCAUUUCCCAGGCAAUGUCCAAUCAGGGACUAUAUCUGCUUCGCUCAUCAUUUUACUUCUCGUAACUGGUACAUCCUGGGUACACCAUAAUGAUUUUGUUCAAUGGGGGCUCCUGUUUUGUCCUCACGACAACCCUAUGGGGCAGGUAGUAUGAGGAUCCUCGUUUUACAGGUGAGGAAAAUGAUCUAGAAAAGAUUACACUGACCAAGGUCACACACUUGUAUGUAGCAGAUCUGAGAUUUGAAAUCAGCUCUUUGUAACCAUAAAGUCGGAAGUGUUCAACCACUUUGUUGGAAUGUUAAAAUCUGCACCUAAAAAUGUACUUACAUGACCUAUGGUGAGACUCAAACCCCUUUGAGACUACCACAUCCCGAGAGGGUUUAAAAAAUCUCAGACCUCCUUUUCUAGCUUCAGAACUCUGAUGUCAGAGGACUCCUGUGGAGAUGUGCUGGAGGGGCCCACACCCCAUCAUUUAGUCUGGAAGGCCUGAGAAGUGGAUGUAGUGUGACACUGCCAACAAAUUAUCACCCAGUAAGCACCCUGAAACAACACGCAUGUCUUCUCUCAGUUUCUGUGGACUCACUGCUUUAGCUCUGUCCUAUGUUCAAGGUCUCACAAAACCACACUCCAGGUGUCAGCCGAACUGAGUUUUCAGCCAGAUGCUUGAGUGGAGAAGAGUCUGCUUCUGAGCUCAUUCUUGUUGUCCCAGGCUUCAUUUCCUCAGGAUUGUAUACCUAAGGCCUGACUUUCUGCGGGCUGUUGGCCAUGUCGAGGCAGCGGCUUCCUCAACAUGGCUGCUCACUUCGUCAAGCCUGCCAGGAGAACCUGCUAGUGUGUGCUGAUGUGGCAAAAUACUCCUUCCUGGAAGAGUCUUCUGUUUUAAGGUCUAAACAGUGGCCCGGAUUGCUGUUGAUUUUUCACAGUG